AAAAUAUUUAAUUAUGGUAUAGAAUAUGUAUAUAUAUUCAAAAUUUAUAUGAAUUUCGUUUUAAAUUUUAUUUUAGUAGUGUGUAAAUUUAAUUAUUAAAUAAUUUUAGAAUUAGUGAUAAAUUUUAGUAUUUGCGAAUUUUGUGCCAGCAGCAGCGGUUAUACAAAAGAUACAAUAUAUAUAUAUUAGUUUUAAUUAGUAGAAUUAUAGAAAUUAAAUUAAAAUUUAAAUUUUAAGGUGAAAUUUUAAUUUUAAAUAAGUUUAAAAAUAAUGAUUAUGAAGUUAGGAAAUUUUUUUUUUAAACUAGGAUUAGAUACCCUAUUAUUUAAAAUGUAAAUUAUUAAGCUAAGUGAUUAAUAGUUAAGUUCUUUAAAGCUAAAUGAUUUGGCGGUACUUUAAACUUUUCAGAGGAACCUGUUCUAUAAGCGAUAGUCCACGAUUAAAUUAACUUUAAUUAGAAAUUUUCAUAUCGUUGUUAUUAAAUAUUUUAUAAGAAUAAAAUAUUUAAGAUUUCUUUAUAAAGAAAUAAAUCAAAUCAAGGUGAAGUUUAUAUUAAAGAAGAUAUGGGUUACAAUAAAUUUUAUUUUUGGAUUAUUAAUUUGUAAAAUUUUAUGAAAUUGGAUUUGAAAGUAAUUAAUUAAUAUAUUUUUUUAAUGAUUAAGCUCUAAAUUAUGUACAUAUUGCCCGUCACUUUCAUUUAAAAUGGAAUAAGUCGUAACAUAGUAGAUUUACUGGAAAGUGAUUCUAGAAUGU
Molecule: non-coding RNA, 753 nt
Filed under: Hippodamia convergens (convergent lady beetle)
Lineage: Eukaryota; Metazoa; Arthropoda; Insecta; Coleoptera; Coccinellidae
Source: RNAcentral